AUGGAGGAGCCCCCGCCGGCGGAGCCUCGGUCGCAGCGGUUCGUGCUGUGGCUGCACGGGCUGGGGGACAGCGGCCGCGCAAACGAGCCGGUGGCCGGGUACGCCUUUGCCGGCGCCCGCUGGGCCUUCCCCACGGCGCCCACCGCGGCCGUCAGAUGCAACCGUGGCAUGUUGAUGCCGUCGUGGUUCGACAUCCACGACACGCCCAUCACCUCCAAAUCCGUGAGGGGCGAGGCGGACGUGCUGAGGUCCGUGGAGAGCGUGCACGCCAUGAUCGACCGGGAGAUAUCCGCCGGAACAAGGCCGGAGGACGUCUUUGUGUUCGGGCUCAGCCAGGGAGGCGCGCUGAGCAUCGCGAGCGUGCUGCUGUACCCCAAGACGCUGGGCGGCUGCGCGGUCUUCAGCGGCUUCCUCCCGUUCGGUGCAUCCUUCGCGUCCAGGGUGACGGCCGAGGCCAAGAAGACGCCGGUGCUGUGGGUGCACGGGCGAGCAGACUUCCUGGUCCCGAUCGAGGCCGGCAAAGACGGGACCAAGUUCCUGCGGGGACGGCUCGGGAUGAGAUGCGAGUUCAAGGUGUACGACGGGCUCGGCCACGAGCUGGCGCCCUACGAGCUCCAGUACUGCGAGCGCUGGGCCGACGGCGGGGGUGGUGGCUCCAACGACGACCCAAGGACAAGAAGCGUGGACCGUGGCGUCCCGAGGACCAGGCGCUCCUGCAGCUGCGGAUUCGGCUUCUUCUCUUGGUCGUAA
RNAcentral lists this ribosomal RNA (750 nucleotides) under Triticum aestivum (bread wheat). RNAcentral's name for it is "partial small subunit ribosomal RNA". Lineage: Eukaryota; Viridiplantae; Streptophyta; Magnoliopsida; Poales; Poaceae. The record is from RNAcentral.